This 305-nucleotide ribosomal RNA is filed under the name uncultured bacterium. Its description in RNAcentral is "bacterial SSU rRNA". It matches the Rfam family "Bacterial small subunit ribosomal RNA", at positions 337 to 640 of the family's 1533-position model. The record is from RNAcentral.
ACCUACGGGGGGCAGCAGUGAGGAAUAUUGGUCAAUGGUCGGGAGACUGAACCAGCCAAGCCGCGUGAGGGAUGAAGGUACAGAGUAUCGUAAACCUCUUUUGUCAGGGAACAAAGGCGGGGACGCGUCCCCGGAUGAGUGUACCUGAAGAAAAAGCAUCGGCUAACUCCGUGCCAGCAGCCGCGGUAAUACGGAGGAUGCGAGCGUUAUCCGGAUUUAUUGGGUUUAAAGGGUGGGCAGGCGGUCUGUUAAGUCAGCGGUCAUAGCCCAGGGCUCAACCCCGCCCCGCCGCUGAAUCUGGCAGU